AUCGCUCCGGAUGCACCACCUCCACUAUUUCUCCUCUUAAGUUUACUUGGCCUGGAUUUAUAUGUGUUGUGUUUACUCACGAUUCCUGUGUUUGAUUAAUAGUUCUUAUGGAGGCUAUACUACGACGCACUCAUAGCUGGCUUGCCUGAUUAUUGCUCCGGCGACCGAGCUAUGUGGAGCUCUUCUGUCCCACUAAUAUGUCUCAAUAUUGUUGAGCAUCAUGCCACCGAGCAAGUACUUUGCCAGUUUGGUUGACCGCAGCUUGUACCUAUUCCGCCCGCUUGGCUUAGGACACAUUACCGGCGGGAUGAUUGUUCUAGAGUUGACCAAACACACUUGGACUGACUAUAUGCCCAGAUUGAGAUUUGGGACCAGAGGUAUGACCUGAUUCUGCCACCCCCUCUACCUAAGCGUACGUAUGGAGAGCAUGAGUAAAUGGGCUGGUAUCGCAGUGUUACCCGACUUCUCGUCGGGAAUCCCGUUCAUCGCGCUGGUGGUCGGUACAUUCCAUAUGCCGGGAGGCAUGAGGCACUGGCUAUUGGCUUACAUCAGUUCUACUAGUUGGGACUGCAGAUGCUGUAGCAUACCGGUGAGGGAGCGACAACUUUGCACGAGUAUGGCCGGUAGGUUACAGAUCUGGCUGCCCAAACAUUGAGGCAUGCCCGAGAUGAUGAGCGAUUAGGAUACAAGGCUGCUUAUGUGCCGCCAGAGGAGUACCAUCAUGGGCCACCAGUGGAGCCUGAACGUGGUAGACGUGGAAGGCGUGGCCAGAGAGGAAUGAGUGUCCCACGAGGUCGUGGUGGUCGGCGAGGACGGGGUCCCCAGCAAAGGGGCGUGGAGGCACUCGUGGAGGAUAUUAGAGAUGAUCAGCCCGGUGACAACCCCUGAGCCACACGAUGCUCCUUAGGAUGUGCCGUCAUUUAUCCUUCAGCUAUCGCCAUGGACUUCGCAGUUGACCUCGUCAGCUUCAUUGUUGAUCGCGUGCACGUCCAUUAUGCGACAAGAGUGGGAUCAGUAUUUUCCUGAUCUCCCAAAGCCAUCGACGGUUGCCGAUGAUCGUCCGACAUGAGAUGUGCAUAGUGGGCGACGACUGAGUUAUGACUCUUCAUCGAGGAAUGCUGAGAAUCUAGCACAUACUCCAUCUACUCUACUAUACCUUGAUGUUCCGACAGAGCGUUGCGGUGCUACUCAGGCGCAAGUUUGUUUGUAUUACUAUUAUUUCUAUUUGUUUCUAUCUCAUUGAUUAGUCAAUAAUAUGUAAAGCAUUUUUAUGUUUUUUAAAGACAUCGACAUCGCCCGUCGCGGAGGCCGCAUUGUGCGAUACUAAGAUGCCAGAGACGGAUGAUCUAAUUCAGGAGCCCGCUGAACCAUGGUUACUACCGGCCCGACGACCGCUUCUACCGAGUCUGCAUACCUUACCGAUGAUCAUGCUGCAGCGCAUCCUCCGAUAAAGAGGAAACGUGAUAAGGAUGAUCCUGAUAGCGUAUCCGGGCGGGAUGGGAUGCACCUCAGUCCAGCCAAUGCUUUAAAGCAUACAGGAUGUGGGACACAUUGACAUUUAU
Nicotiana tabacum (common tobacco) is the source of this 1562-nucleotide long non-coding RNA. RefSeq lists it as uncharacterized. The record is from RefSeq and is a predicted model, not a curated record. Lineage: Eukaryota; Viridiplantae; Streptophyta; Magnoliopsida; Solanales; Solanaceae.